RNAcentral lists this transfer RNA (78 nucleotides) under Candidatus Zhuqueibacterota bacterium. RNAcentral's name for it is "candidate division KSB1 bacterium tRNA-Val". It matches the Rfam family "tRNA". From Rfam's summary of the family: Transfer RNA (tRNA) molecules are approximately 80 nucleotides in length. Their secondary structure includes four short double-helical elements and three loops (D, anti-codon, and T loops). Further hydrogen bonds mediate the characteristic L-shaped molecular structure. tRNAs have two regions of fundamental functional importance: the anti-codon, which is responsible for specific mRNA codon recognition, and the 3' end, to which the tRNAs corresponding amino acid is attached (by aminoacyl-tRNA synthetases). tRNAs cope with the degeneracy of the genetic code in two manners: having more than one tRNA (with a specific anti-codon) for a particular amino acid; and 'wobble' base-pairing, i.e. permitting non-standard base-pairing at the 3rd anti-codon position. The record is from RNAcentral. Lineage: Bacteria; Pseudomonadati.
GGGCGAUUAGCUCAGCAGGUUCAGAGCACCUGCCUUACAAGCAGGGGGUCACUGGUUCGAAUCCGGUAUCGCCCACUA